RNAcentral lists this ribosomal RNA (503 nucleotides) under uncultured bacterium. RNAcentral's name for it is "partial 16S ribosomal RNA". It matches the Rfam family "Bacterial small subunit ribosomal RNA", at positions 30 to 523 of the family's 1533-position model. The record is from RNAcentral.
AUUGAACGCUGGCGGCAGGCUUAACACAUGCAAGUCGAGCGGGGUGAUGGUGCUUGCACUAUCACUUAGCGGCGGACGGGUGAGUAAUGCUUAGGAAUCUGCCUAUUAGUGGGGGACAACAUCUCGAAAGGGAUGCUAAUACCGCAUACGUCCUACGGGAGAAAGCAGGGGAUCACUUGUGACCUUGUGCUAAUAGAUGAGCCUAAGUCGGAGUAGCUAGUUGGUGGGGUAAAGGCCUACCAAGGCGACGAUCUGUAGCGGGUCUGAGAGGAUGGUCCGCCACACUGGGACUGAGAAACGGCCCAGACUCCGAAGUGAGGCAGCAGUGGGGAAUAUUGGACAAUGGGGGGAACCCUGAUCCAGCCAUGCCGCGUGUGUGAAGAAGGCCUUAUGGUUGUAAAGCACUUUAAGCGAGGAGGAGGCUUACCUAGUUAAUACCUGGGAUAAGUGGACGUUACUCGCAGAAUAAGCACCGGCUAACUCUGUGCCAGCCGCCGCCGUAA